This 468-nucleotide ribosomal RNA is filed under the name uncultured bacterium. Its description in RNAcentral is "partial 16S ribosomal RNA". It matches the Rfam family "Bacterial small subunit ribosomal RNA", at positions 28 to 507 of the family's 1533-position model. The record is from RNAcentral.
GACGAACGCUGGCGGCGUGCUUAACACAUGCAAGUCGAACGGAAAGGCCCUGCUUUUGUGGGGUGCUCGAGUGGCGAACGGGUGAGUAACACGUGAGUAACCUGCCCUUGACUUUGGGAUAACUUCAGGAAACUAGGGCUAAUACCGGAUAGGAGCUCCUGCUGCAUGGUGGGGGUUGGAAAGUUUCGGCGGUUGGGGAUGGACUCGCGGCUUAUCAGCUUGUUGGUGGGGUAGCGGCUUACCAAGGCUUUGACGGGUAGCCGGCCUGAGAGGGUGACCGGCCACAUUGGGACUGAGAUACGGCCCAGACUCCUACGGGAGGCAGCAGUGGGGAAUAUUGCACAAUGGGCGGAAGCCUGAUGCAGCAACGCCGCGUGCGGGAUGACGGCCUUCGGGUUGUAAACCGCUUUCGCCUGUGACGAAGCGUGAGUGACGGUAAUGGGUAAAGAAGCACCGGCUAACUACGUG